AGCAGCCGCGGUAAUUCCAGCUCCAAUAGCGUAUAUUAAAGUUGUUGCAGUUAAAAAGCUCGUAGUUGAAUUUCGGGAUUAGUACGUUGGUCGUGCCUUAGGUACGUACUGGUGUUACUGGUUCCUACCUUCUGACGAACCAUCAUGUCAUUAAUUUGGUGUGGCGGGGAAUCAGGACUGUUACUUUGAAAAAAUUAGAGUGUUUAAAGCAGGCUCGCGCUUGAAUACAUUAGCAUGGAAUAAUGAAAUAGGACGUUGACCCUAUUUUGUUGGUUUCUAGGAUUGACGUAAUGAUUAAUAGGGAUAGUUGGGGGCAUUAGUAUUCAAUUGUCAGAGGUGAAAUUCUUGGAUUUAUUGAAGACUAACUACUGCGAAAGCAUUUGCCAAGGAUGUUUUCAUUAAUCAAGAACGAAAGUUAGGGGAUCGAAGACGAUCAGAUACCGUCGUAGUCUUAACCAUAAACUAUGCCGACUAGGGAUCGGAUGAUGUUAUUUUUAAUGACUCA
Molecule: ribosomal RNA, 505 nt
Filed under: Glomus sp. Glo2
Lineage: Eukaryota; Fungi; Glomeromycota; Glomeromycetes; Glomerales; Glomeraceae
Also listed under: 2 other names
Description: SSU rRNA
Rfam family: Eukaryotic small subunit ribosomal RNA
Source: RNAcentral